GACGAACGCUGGCGGCGUGCCUAAUACAUGCAAGUCGAACGCACUCUCGUUUAGAUUGAAGGAGCUUGCUCCUGAUUGAUAAACAUUUGAGUGAGUGGCGGACGGGUGAGUAACACGUGGGUAACCUGCCCUAAAGUGGGGGAUAACAUUUGGAGACAGAUGCUAAUACCGCAUAAAACCUAAACACCGCAUGGUGUAGGGUUGAAAGAUGGUUUCGGCUAUCACUUUAGGAUGGACCCGCGGUGCAUUAGUUAGUUGGUGAGGUAAAGGCUCACCAAGACCGUGAUGCAUAGCCGACCUGAGAGGGUAAUCGGCCACACUGGGACUGAGACACGGCCCAGACUCCUACGGGAGGCAGCAGUAGGGAAUCUUCCACAAUGGACGAAAGUACUGAUGGAGCAACGCCGCGUGAGUGAAGAAGGUUUCGGAUCGUAAAACUCUAGUUGUUGGUAGAGAAUGUAUCUGAUAGUAACUGAUCAGGUAGUGACGGUAU
RNAcentral lists this ribosomal RNA (493 nucleotides) under uncultured bacterium. Its description in RNAcentral is "bacterial SSU rRNA". It matches the Rfam family "Bacterial small subunit ribosomal RNA", at positions 28 to 499 of the family's 1533-position model. The record is from RNAcentral.